GUCCUGCAUGAAGAAAUGCUCAACUCCUGAUGCAUGGAGAAAAGAAGGAGGAUGAGGUAGCCAACACUGUGUUUUUAUAUAUAUAUAUUUUAAUUGGGGUAACCCCCAAUAUAUUGGGACAUAUAAAAAAAGACAACUCUGUUCUGCAGAGUAGCUGUUGACAUUAUAGUUGCGCAGGAACUUUGUUGACUCUAGAGAACCUCAGGCAAAUCGCACAUCCCCGUGGCAGCGACUUUGCAUGUGGAUGUCAUCCAUAUCAACUUUCGAUGCCAGUUUCUGCGCCAACCAUAGUGACCACGGGUAAUGGAGAAUCAGGGUUCCAUUCCGUACAGGGACCCUAAGAAUCGGCUACCACAUGCAAGAAAGGCAGCAGGCGCGCAAAUUACCCACUCCCGACGCGGGAAGGUAGUGAUGAC
Molecule: ribosomal RNA, 416 nt
Filed under: Pelobates cultripes (western spadefoot toad)
Lineage: Eukaryota; Metazoa; Chordata; Amphibia; Anura; Pelobatidae
Description: SSU_rRNA_microsporidia
Rfam family: Eukaryotic small subunit ribosomal RNA
Source: RNAcentral